AUGCGAGGGUUUAACUCGGUCCUCUGUGCCAUCCCCACAUACCUCAUCUCGGUGUUCAAGUUGGACAUAUGGGCCAUCAAACAAAUUGACAAACUCUGAAGGAACUUCCUAUGGAGAUCCAAACCGGAGGCCUCUGGAGGAAUAGCACUUGUGAAUUGGGCCACUGUCUGUCGCCCAAAGAGGCUUGGAGGUCUCGGUGUGAUGGAUAUCAAGAAGUUUGGGCGUACUUUUCGGCUUCGCUGGAUGUGGUUAGAUAAGCAAAGGGAGAUCAGGCCUUGGACUGGCUCCGUUAUUCCUUGUGAUGAGGUCGACCAGGCACUUUUCAGAGCAUCCUCCACGCUUAAUCUUGGGAAUGGCAGGGACACCUCCUUCUGGCAUGACAGGUGGCUUGACGGCCAAGCUCCCAAAUUCAUGGCCCCUGAUCUGUUUGCACUAAGUACCAAGAAGAAGAUUAGCGUUUCUGAGGCAAUCAAUGGCCAAGCCUGGAUGGCAGGAUUGCGGCGCAUCACUCAGACCUCGCAGCUUUGUCAGUACACACACCUUUGGCUUAGACUACAACAGGUUCAACUUAACUCUGAAGUAGAUUCAGUCUCUUGGAAGGGCACCACGGGUGGUGUUUACUCUGCACGAUCAGCUUAUCAAUACCAGUUCAUGGGCUCAUACUCCAGUAUCAAUUUUGAGAAGCUUUGGAAGACCAAGGUGGAGGGAAAAUGCCGCUUCUUCAUGUAG
This 729-nucleotide ribosomal RNA is filed under the name Triticum aestivum (bread wheat). RNAcentral describes it as "partial small subunit ribosomal RNA". The record is from RNAcentral. Lineage: Eukaryota; Viridiplantae; Streptophyta; Magnoliopsida; Poales; Poaceae.